UUCCUACGGGUGGCUGCAGUGGGGAAUUUUGGACAAUGGGCGAAAGCCUGAUCCAGCAAUGCCGCGUGUGUGAAGAAGGCCUUCGGGUUGUAAAGCACUUUUGUCCGGAAAGAAAUCCUUGGCUCUAAUACAGUCGGGGGAUGACGGUACCGGAAGAAUAAGCACCGGCUAACUACGUGCCAGCAGCCGCGGUAAUACGUAGGGUGCGAGCGUUAUUCGGAAUUACUGGGCGUAAAGCGUGCGCAGGCGGUUUGCUAAGUCCGAUGUGAAAUCCCCGGGCUCAACCUGGGAACUGCAUUGGAUACUGGCAGUCUAGAGUAUGGCAGAGGGGUGUGGAAUUCCACGUGUAGCGGUGAAAUGCGUAGAUAUGUGGAGGAACACCAGGGCGAAGGCAGCCCCUCUGGCCAAUACUGACGCUCAG
This 421-nucleotide ribosomal RNA is filed under the name uncultured Burkholderia sp. Its description in RNAcentral is "bacterial SSU rRNA". It matches the Rfam family "Bacterial small subunit ribosomal RNA", at positions 336 to 750 of the family's 1533-position model. The record is from RNAcentral. Lineage: Bacteria; Pseudomonadati; Pseudomonadota; Betaproteobacteria; Burkholderiales; Burkholderiaceae.